ACGUACACUCCUACGGGAGGCAGCAGUGGGGAAUAUUGGACAAUGGGCGCAAGCCUGAUCCAGCCAUGCCGCGUGAGUGAUGAAGGCCCUAGGGUUGUAAAGCUCUUUCACCGGUGAAGAUAAUGACGGUAACCGGAGAAGAAGCCCCGGCUAACUUCGUGCCAGCAGCCGCGGUAAUACGAAGGGGGCUAGCGUUGUUCGGAUUUACUGGGCGUAAAGCGCACGUAGGCGGACUAUUAAGUCAGGGGUGAAAUCCCGGGGCUCAACCCCGGAACUGCCUUUGAUACUGGUAGUCUUGAGGUCGAGAGAGGUGAGUGGAAUUCCGAGUGUAGAGGUGAAAUUCGUAGAUAAUCGGAGGAACACCAGUGGCGAAGGCGGCUCACUGGCUCGAUACUGACGCUGAGGUGCGAAAGCGUGGGGAGCAAACAGGAUUAGAUACCCGUGUAGUCCCAUGAU
Molecule: ribosomal RNA, 456 nt
Filed under: uncultured organism
Description: partial 16S ribosomal RNA
Rfam family: Bacterial small subunit ribosomal RNA
Source: RNAcentral